CGCGAGUUUGAACCAGCCAGCCGCGUGAAAGAUUAGGCCCUACGGGUCGUAAACUUCUUUGUCAGGGAACAAAGUGGGGACGUGCCCCAUCUGCGUGUACUUGAAGAAAAAGCAUCGGCUAACUCCGUGCCAGCAGCCGCGGUAAUACGGAGGAUGCGAGCGUUAUCCGGAUUAUUGGGUUUUAAAGGGUGCGCAGGCGGUCUGUUAAGUCAGCGGUAAAAGCCCGGGGCUCAACCCCGGCGAGCCGUUGAAACUGGCGGACUAGAGAGGAAGAGAAGUAGGCGGAAUGCGCGGUGUAGCGGUGAAAUGCUUAGAUAUCGCGCAGAACUCCGAUUGCGAAGGCAGCCUACCGGCUUCUGUCUGACGCUCAGGCACGAAAGCGUGGGUAUCGAACAGGAUUAGAUACCCUGGUAGUCCACGCAGUAAACGAUGAAUGCCGGCUGUCCGGCCCGACUGGGGGCUGGGUGGCGAAGCGAAAGCGAUAAGCAUUCCACCUGGGGAGUACGCCGGCAACGGUGAAACUCAAAGGAAUUGACGGGGGCCCGCACAAGCGGAGGAACAUGUGGUUUAAUUCGAUGAUACGCGAGGAACCUUACCCGGGCUCAAACGGCGGAUGACAGGUGCAGAGACGCACCCUCCCACGGGCAUCCACCGAGGUGCUGCAUGGUUGUCGUCAGCUCGUGCCGUGAGGUGUCGGCUUAAGUGCCAUAACGAGCGCAACCCCUGCCGACAGUUGCUAACGGAUAAUGCCGAGGACUCUGUCGGGACUGCCGGCGCAAGCCGUGAGGAAGGCGGGGAUGACGUCAAAUCAGCACGGCCCUUACGUCCGGGGCGACACACGUGUUACAAUGGCCGGUACAGCGGGAAGCCAGGCGGCGACGCCGAGCGGAACCCGAAAACCGGUCUCAGUUCGGAUCGGAGUCUGCAACCCGACUCCGUGAAGCUGGAUUCGCUUGUAAUCGCGCAUCAGCCAUGGCGCGGUGAAUACGUUCCCGGUCCUUGUACACACCCGCCCGUCAAGGGCGAAUUCGCGGCCGCUAAAUCAAUCGCCCUAUCCCCCCCA
This 1063-nucleotide ribosomal RNA is filed under the name Sisymbrium irio. RNAcentral describes it as "bacterial SSU rRNA". It matches the Rfam family "Bacterial small subunit ribosomal RNA", at positions 376 to 1444 of the family's 1533-position model. Lineage: Eukaryota; Viridiplantae; Streptophyta; Magnoliopsida; Brassicales; Brassicaceae. The record is from RNAcentral.